GAACGAGAGAGAGAUUGACGCGCGAGAUAUUGCCGUGCCACGUCAGUUGGACCGCUCAUAACGGUCUGGUUGCAGGUUCGAGUCCUGCCGGGCCCACCA
This 99-nucleotide transfer RNA is filed under the name Bradyrhizobium japonicum. RNAcentral's name for it is "tRNA-Ile". The record is from RNAcentral. Lineage: Bacteria; Pseudomonadati; Pseudomonadota; Alphaproteobacteria; Hyphomicrobiales; Nitrobacteraceae.